GAAUCUAAAAUUUGAUGUAAUUAUGGUGCUUGUCUAAUUUGUGGGUUUGAUGAGGAUAUUGUGGACCACUGCUUCAUACAAAGCAUAUUAGUAAUAUAACUGUAACAACUCCAUGGAUUGCCUUGAAUAAUGGUUAGAACAUCUGAGGUAAUGGUAAGAUUCUGUAGACUGCUGGGCCAGAUGGAAUGGCUUAGGACAUGCAUCUAAAGGAACAAAAUAAGAACUUAUGUUGGUCUGAUGUUCAAUUUGGGUGUCAAUUAGACAACAAGGAAAAUAUGAUUUAUUUAAUUGGGAAGAUUAAUCUGUUGAGGGGACCCAAUUUGUAUUACUAGAAUGGUACUGUUUUGUAUAUGUGGAUUGACAAUAUAGUUGAUGUAUUUAUUACUGACAGAUGGAAAUUAAAAAAUGCAAUAGCCAGUUGGUUUCCAAUUUAGGAAGGAUGCUUGAUGUUAGUUUAAGUCCCCUGGGUGUUUAAACCUGACGAGGUUGUACUGAUGGUAAACAUUGAUCAUCAUAUAUGGCUUCAUCAAAGGUUGAUUCUUAAUGAAGGAGAUGAUGAAUUGGUUGAGAGUAUUUUGAAUAAGUGGGUUCAGGGCUUGACUGUUGAAGCAAAAUCUUUUUAUCCUAGUUUGUCUAACCCUAGUUGUUAUUCUUGGAAGACUAACUUUGUCUUGGUACAAGGACAAAGAUGCUCUUGGAGUAACUAUCAAGAAGCUGCCAUAUGCAAUUAUGCAACUAGAAACAGAACACGAGACUUUGGACUAUGUUUCCAUUGUUGGAGUUUGAACUGUGUCUCUGAAGUCUUGCUCUUUGUUAGUGUUACAUCAGCUGUUUAAUGCAGUAGCAUGUUGUUAGACAGGACCAGAUGGAGAACCCCUUGCAUGCUAAGGGGCAUGUACCAUAUUACUGCUACUUUUUGAUCCAUCUCCUUGUUGCGUGGUAAAUGACCAUCUAGUGAAAAAUUAAAAGUUAAAAGAUCGAUGUCUUGUAAUCGAUUUUGUCAGUCGUAUUAAAAAUGUGAAUGCGAUAUUGGUGAAAAUAAUCUAAAAAGGCAAACAAUGCCUAGCGCCUACACAAAGUUAUGCUAGCAAAAGUGCAAUUUACUAGCUCUUAGCGAGUCCGCGAUCAAAUUGUUUUGCUCCACAUCAUAGGUAGUUGUGUAUGUGUUGUCUUUUCUACCAUAUGAUCAGUCUUCAUGAUAUGGUUUGAUCGAUGUCGCACAUAUGUUGCUCAUGGUUUCUGAGGAUUGAAUUACUCUUUCAGACUAAACUAUCCAAUAUAUAUGCUUGGAUAAGAUACUUAAAGAAAGCCCUUUAGAAAUUUAGGUUCAAUUGGUGACAGAGAUCCAUAGACAUUCAUGAUGUACCAGAGGUUAGAUGGCCUAGUGCAUUAGAUGUUAGAAAUUGUCAGGGUCAGUUCAAUUUUUGCCUCCCCUACCUAUUAUAUAGAAUAACAAUACUUCUUGAGUAGUUAUGAAGUAACAAAAUUCAUGCAUUGGAUUCAGCUAAAACCUAGGAUUAUACCAUUCCAUCCUCAAUCAAGUAAAAGUUUUAAUCAUGAAUCCUAAUCAGGCUUGCCACAGGUUAGGAUGAGAAGCUAAUACAUGCUUCGAAAUGUGAGAUCCUAAUUUUCUCUCUAGUAAUUCUUAUCUGCCAGGCAUCUUUUAUUGCCAGAUGAAAUGCUCCAGCGUCCAAACAGGACAUUAGCAAAUCAGACUUGGGAAUUCCAACAC
This 1732-nucleotide long non-coding RNA is filed under the name Phoenix dactylifera (date palm). Its description in RNAcentral is "long non-coding RNA (PDAC_LNC000672)". Lineage: Eukaryota; Viridiplantae; Streptophyta; Magnoliopsida; Arecales; Arecaceae. The record is from RNAcentral.